RNAcentral lists this ribosomal RNA (169 nucleotides) under uncultured bacterium. Its description in RNAcentral is "partial 16S ribosomal RNA". It matches the Rfam family "Bacterial small subunit ribosomal RNA", at positions 338 to 524 of the family's 1533-position model. The record is from RNAcentral.
CCUACGGGAGGCAGCAGUGGGGAAUCUUGCACAAUGGAGGCAACUCUGAUGCAGCGACGCCGCGUGAGCGAUGAAGCCCUUCGGGGUGUAAAGCUCUUUCGGCAGGGACGAUAAUGACGGUACCUGAAGAAGAAGCUGCGGCUAACUACGUGCCAGCAGCCGCGGUAAU